This is a long non-coding RNA of Amaranthus tricolor (Joseph's coat), 629 nucleotides long. RefSeq lists it as uncharacterized. The record is from RefSeq and is a predicted model, not a curated record. NCBI's taxonomy places the organism in Eukaryota, Viridiplantae, Streptophyta, Magnoliopsida, Caryophyllales, Amaranthaceae. The transcript is spliced from 3 exons.
ACCAGCCGCCAUUCCCUCCUCUCUUCUCUUCUAUUCUCUCUUCCUUUCACUCCCUUCUCCCUCACGGUCCAUCUGUAGCCACGAGAACCACCCGCAGCAGGCGGCCUAGUAGCAGCAACUAGCUGCGUUUCUUCCCUUUCACCAGCAGCCGUCUGGUGCACCUGAACCCCAUCAGCCAAGCUACGUUAUGCGUAGGCAGCAACAAGCUGCUGCGUUGGGCCCUUCAACCUCCACGACAGCCUCGGUUUACCACCAUCACAACCUUCCCUUGCCCUCUUCAUCAUUUUUGCUAGUUUUAACUUUGUUCCCAGUUCAUAAGAGGAAAGUAGAACCUUAGUUGGUGAUUUUUUUUGUAACUUUUGGUUGUGCAGUGAUGCUUUCAGCAGGAGGAUCAUAGCUUGACAUGACAGGUAUAGGAGCUUCUUUUGCUUUACAUUGGGGGAAAGAGCGGAGUACGGUCGUAACAAUUGUGCCUAAUGCUUGUAGCUUCUAUAUUACUUGUAAAGUUUUCUUUUGGGAUUGUAUAAUUUCUUUCGUAUGGAGCCAUGUGACUCCUUGUAUGAUCCCUAGUUUCGUUGUGCAGUUUUUGGAUGUAUAGUAGUGAGAAUACUCCUUUAGUAUUCGUCAAA